RNAcentral lists this ribosomal RNA (418 nucleotides) under bacterium. RNAcentral's name for it is "partial 16S ribosomal RNA". It matches the Rfam family "Bacterial small subunit ribosomal RNA", at positions 355 to 776 of the family's 1533-position model. The record is from RNAcentral.
UGGGGGAUAUUGCACAAUGGGCGAAAGCCUGAUGCAGCGACGCCGCGUGGGGAUGAAGGCUUUCGGGUUGUAAACCUCUUUCGCUAUCGAACAAGGCCCGCUUAGGGUGGGUUGAGGGUAGGUGGAGAAGAAGCGCCGGCUACUACGUGCCAGCAGCCGCGGUAAUACGUAGGGCGCGAGCGUUGUCCGGAAUUAUUGGGCGUAAAGGGCUUGUAGGCGGCUUGUUGCGCCUGCUGUGAAAACGCGGGGCUUAACUUCGCGCGUGCAGUGGGUACGGGCAGGCUUGAGUGUGGUAGGGGUGACUGGAAUUCCAGGUGUAGCGGUGGAAUGCGCAGAUAUCUGGAGGAACACCGAUGGCGAAGGCAGGUCACUGGGCCAUUACUGACGCUGAGGAGCGAAAGCAUGGGUAGCGAACAGG